CAGCACCUCAAGUGGUCAGGAUGAUUAUUGGGCCUAAAGCAUCCGUAGCCGGCGCUGUAAGUUUUCGGUUAAAUCUGUACGCUCAACGUACAGGCUGCCGGGAAUACUGCAGCGCUAGGGAGUGGGAGAGGUAGACGGUACUCGGUAGGAAGGGGUAAGAUCCUUUGAUCUAUUGAUGACCACCUGUGGCGAAGGCGGUCUACCAGAACACGUCCGACGGUGAGGGAUGAAAGCUGGGGGAGCAAACCGGAUUAGAGACCCGAGUAGUCC
RNAcentral lists this ribosomal RNA (270 nucleotides) under uncultured archaeon. RNAcentral's name for it is "partial 16S ribosomal RNA". It matches the Rfam family "Archaeal small subunit ribosomal RNA", at positions 477 to 747 of the family's 1478-position model. The record is from RNAcentral.